RNAcentral lists this ribosomal RNA (2190 nucleotides) under Escherichia coli. RNAcentral describes it as "partial 23S ribosomal RNA". It matches the Rfam family "Bacterial large subunit ribosomal RNA", at positions 1 to 2207 of the family's 2925-position model. Lineage: Bacteria; Pseudomonadati; Pseudomonadota; Gammaproteobacteria; Enterobacterales; Enterobacteriaceae. The record is from RNAcentral.
GGGUUGUGAGGUUAAGCGACUAAGCGUACACGGUGGAUGCCCUGGCAGUCAGAGGCGAUGAAGGACGUGCUAAUCUGCGAUAAGCGUCGGUGAGGUGAUAUGAACCGUUAUAACCGGCGAUUUCCGAAUGGGGAAACCCAGUGUGUUUCGACACACUAUCAUUAACUGAAUCCAUAGGUUAAUGAGGCGAACCGGGGGAACUGAAACAUCUAAGUACCCCGAGGAAAAGAAAUCAACCGAGAUUCCCCCAGUAGCGGCGAGCGAACGGGGAGGAGCCCAGAGCCUGAAUCAGUGUGUGUGUUAGUGGAAGCGUCUGGAAAGGCGCGCGAUACAGGGUGACAGCCCCGUACACAAAAAUGCACACAUUGUGAGCUCGAUGAGUAGGGCGGGACACGUGGUAUCCUGUCUGAAUAUGGGGGGACCAUCCUCCAAGGCUAAAUACUCCUGACUGACCGAUAGUGAACCAGUACCGUGAGGGAAAGGCGAAAAGAACCCCGGCGAGGGGAGUGAAAAAGAACCUGAAACCGUGUACGUACAAGCAGUGGGAGCCUCUUAAUGGGGUGACUGCGUACCUUUUGUAUAAUGGGUCAGCGACUUAUAUUCUGUAGCAAGGUUAACCGAAUAGGGGAGCCGAAGGGAAACCGAGUCUUAACUGGGCGCUAAGUUGCAGGGUAUAGACCCGAAACCCGGUGAUCUAGCCAUGGGCAGGUUGAAGGUUGGGUAACACUAACUGGAGGACCGAACCGACUAAUGUUGAAAAAUUAGCGGAUGACUUGUGGCUGGGGGUGAAAGGCCAAUCAAACCGGGAGAUAGCUGGUUCUCCCCGAAAGCUAUUUAGGUAGCGCCUCGUGAAUUCAUCUCCGGGGGUAGAGCACUGUUUCGGCAAGGGGGUCAUCCCGACUUACCAACCCGAUGCAAACUGCGAAUACCGGAGAAUGUUAUCACGGGAGACACACGGCGGGUGCUAACGUCCGUCGUGAAGAGGGAAACAACCCAGACCGCCAGCUAAGGUCCCAAAGUCAUGGUUAAGUGGGAAACGAUGUGGGAAGGCCCAGACAGCCAGGAUGUUGGCUUAGAAGCAGCCAUCAUUUAAAGAAAGCGUAAUAGCUCACUGGUCGAGUCGGCCUGCGCGGAAGAUGUAACGGGGCUAAACCAUGCACCGAAGCUGCGGCAGCGACACUAUGUGUUGUUGGGUAGGGGAGCGUUCUGUAAGCCUGUGAAGGUGGCCUGUGAGGGUUGCUGGAGGUAUCAGAAGUGCGAAUGCUGACAUAAGUAACGAUAAAGCGGGUGAAAAGCCCGCUCGCCGGAAGACCAAGGGUUCCUGUCCAACGUUAAUCGGGGCAGGGUGAGUCGACCCCUAAGGCGAGGCCGAAAGGCGUAGUCGAUGGGAAACAGGUUAAUAUUCCUGUACUUGGUGUUACUGCGAAGGGGGGACGGAGAAGGCUAUGUUGGCCGGGCGACGGUUGUCCCGGUUUAAGCGUGUAGGCUGGUUUUCCAGGCAAAUCCGGAAAACCAAGGCUGAGGCGUGAUGACGAGGCACUACGGUGCUGAAGCGACAAAUGCCCUGCUUCCAGGAAAAGCCUCUAAGCAUCAGGUAACAUCAAAUCGUACCCCAAACCGACACAGGUGGUCAGGUAGAGAAUACCAAGGCGCUUGAGAGAACUCGGGUGAAGGAACUAGGCAAAAUGGUGCCGUAACUUCGGGAGAAGGCACGCUGAUAUGUAGGUGAAGCGACUUGCUCGUGGAGCUGAAAUCAGUCGAAGAUACCAGCUGGCUGCAACUGUUUAUUAAAAACACAGCACUGUGCAAACACGAAAGUGGACGUAUACGGUGUGACGCCUGCCCGGUGCCGGAAGGUUAAUUGAUGGGGUUAGCGGUAACGCGAAGCUCUUGAUCGAAGCCCCGGUAAACGGCGGCCGUAACUAUAACGGUCCUAAGGUAGCGAAAUUCCUUGUCGGGUAAGUUCCGACCUGCACGAAUGGCGUAAUGAUGGCCAGGCUGUCUCCACCCGAGACUCAGUGAAAUUGAACUCGCUGUGAAGAUGCAGUGUACCCGCGGCAAGACGGAAAGACCCCGUGAACCUUUACUAUAGCUUGACACUGAACAUUGAGCCUUGAUGUGUAGGAUAGGUGGGAGGCUUUGAAGUGUGGACGCCAGUCUGCAUGGAGCCGACCUUGAAAUACCACCCUU